Molecule: long non-coding RNA, 8938 nt
Organism: Cuculus canorus (common cuckoo)
Lineage: Eukaryota; Metazoa; Chordata; Aves; Cuculiformes; Cuculidae
Exons: 3
Source: RefSeq, a predicted model, not a curated record
AAGCGGGUGGUUGCUCAUCUGCUCCAGCACUGAGAAUUUACUGUGACUAAAGAAGUUUGGCCUGCAGUAACUCCUUCUCCACAUGUGACCUUUCUGAGUCCUGUUGAUCCUCCCGCAUAGAGUAUCUUGAUGCAAUUUUUUUCCUCAAGCACAGACUAACAGCACUGCUUGGGAGGAGGGAGGAAAAAUGCCACAGGGCUCUUGCAGUGCCAAGGAACAAGUGACAGCGAGCUGUUGGCUUUGUGAUGGAUCUUUCUGUGGACACGUUUCUGAGGGCGGUGACUAGCUGCUUGUCCAUGUCCCGCUGGCUGUAAUCGAUACUUUAUACAGGGCAGCGAUGCUACUGGUGUGAAUUUUCUACUUCUAUUUUGCGAUGCAGACAGAGAAGAUUUUCCUCUGACUGUUUGAUUAAUGUGUGUCUGAAAUCAUUAUGCCUCCCUGAACAAAAGCAAGCAAGCUAUGCAGCAAUCGAGGCCAGCGGUGCCCAAGUUCCUGAUGGGGAGAAAUCACGAACAAAUGAAAAUCAGGUGUCAAAAUGAAAGCUGAAUCCUUACCCGGACUGAAACCUUUGCAGAGUGGCAUAGGUGACCCGUGGAAAGUUCCCACCUGGCCUGCAUUGCCAUAUAGGAAAGAAUGAGAUGCUGCAAGUGAAAAGACAACAGACUGCAAUGGCUUCAACACCUCUUGAAAGAUAUUUGACAUGGGAAAUAUGCUGGAAAAAUAGCCUGGUUAUAGGGAAAGACUGAGCCUUGCACCAACACACACCUGAAUUCUCUUUAUUGUAGGUAAAACACUAGACAAAGAGAAAAUUGUGGGUUUUAAUCACCACAUGCCUGAUUUCAAAGCUAAGUUGAAAAUUACUUCUCCAAGUUGGAAAUUCCUUUUCAUUUUACAUCCCAAAUUAAUUUACAGUAAAACAAGUCCAUCUAGUUGUAAAACUUGAGAGGAAACACUUGGAAAUCUCCCAAACAUUAUGUUUGAGUAGCUCUGACUUUUCUCUUUCCCUUUUCCCUAUCCUCAAAUUUUCACUUGUUGAUUAUUUUUUUCCAUUCCUUUAUAAGGUGGGUUAAAUAUUAAAUAUGACAGCAAUUCCAAUGGGACCAACAAUGUGAUUGUCACUCGGCUCUCCUCAGUGGCUACUCCUGCAGCUCGUAUGUCAGCCAGCAGAGUCAAUGCAGAGCGGCCUGUCCCAUUUCCCUCACUGGUUUGUCUAUGCAGAUGAUAUGGAUUAACCUGGAAAGUGAGAAACUGGAGCUGAUCCUAAGCCCUUCCUGCAUGUCUGAAGAACACAGAUGUGUGGAACUUAUAAGCAAGCUCACAGAUCACUUCCCUUAUUGAGGAUCUUUCAUUAGGCUGGCCUUACUCAUGAUAUAUAGCGUUUCUUCUGCCUCAGAGUUACUUACAUUACUCCACUGUUUAUCACUUUGUGGUUUUAUUUUAUAUUAUCCCUGUCUGUAAUGACUCAUGAGACUGUGAACACAUAUAACAAAACUUGAGCUACCUCUUUCUGGCAGAGAUGCAAAUACAGCUCAGUUCACAAAUUUUCCAGCAGCUCUCCUGAUCCUGUGUACUUCAUAAAGGUGUGAGUCAAUAAUUCAAAUCAACAUCUCACCUGCACUGAAAAUGCAAUCACUUUGAGGACAAAUCUGACUUCAGAAAUAAAGGCUUGUAAGAUUGCAAGGAAAACCCAGCAAUUUUAGGGCAGGGUAAGCUGUUUGUUUACACAUUUGUGUGUGUUCACCCAGAAUACAGGAGUGUUUUAACUGAGAGAAGCUUUUCUCAGUGGGAAUGAAUGUGAGACUGUACUGGAUAAUAAAUGCUGUGGGUCAGGAGGUUUUCAAACUUCUUUGCCAGCAUGUGCUGACUUUGAAUGACUCAUAGUCCUUCACCUUUUUCUUCCAGGCAGCACGUAUCACCUUCCCACCUCUCCCAAAAGUGAAGUAUAGUGGCAGAGUGUUUAAAGUAGGACCCAGAGGCUCUAAGCUGAAGGUUGAAGUCCUCCCUUGGACUUCAGCUGAAGCCCUGGAGAUGACCUGGUUUCUUGUAGGUGUCUGGUUGUUUGGACUGGGAGUCAAAGGGACCAGCAGGGAUAUGGGCUGAGCAUGCCAUAAAUCCUGCCAGUCUGAGAGGCCCACUGGCUUAGGAGAACGCUUGAUCUUUAACACACAGCUUCUCUGUGGCUGUCACAGCUGUUACUUGGUGUGAGAACAUUAGAAGGGGUUUUGAGAACAGUGUUCCAGGCUACUUUUAUGAGAGUUUGAAUGUGGGAGCAAGAUGGGACAUCCUCAUUUGUACAAUAUUCCAGGCUCCAUAAAGCAUCCAGCAAGGUCCCUGAUGAAGACCUCUGUCAGGCCAUAAGCCGCAGUUUGGGAACACCUGUCCUAUGGCAUCAAUAGACUGUGCCAUACAUCUUCCCCACUGACUUCAGCAUCUGCUGUGCUGCCUUCCUUUGUGAGACUCAAAGCCAUGCUGCCUUUCCCUUAUGCCAGCUGAAAUCAAACCCUUCUGGGUGGAUCCUUACAUGCAUCUGAGCCUCACAAGAGCUCCGGGCAACUUGAGCAUGAGGGAGAGUCAUUGGCCAUGUCCAGUACCCUUGUGUAGGUGUGAUGGCAGGUGACCACGAGGGUAGAUGUGUCAGUGCUACUGGCUGCCUUGGAUGUCAUCUCUUCCCUUUCUCUUCCCCUGUUUCUCUUAGGGGACAACUGUAACAGGACAGAUGGCUGAAGCUAGACCCUCAGAAACAGAGAUGACCAAAAUAAGUUGUCACUUAAAAAAAAAAAGGGCACAACCUGAUCUUUUGAUUCCUCCUACUCCUGACUGUUAAGUGAGGAUAAUAAAUGCUUUCUCACUUUACAGAGCAGUAUGACACUAGAUAUAUUUUCAAAGGUGUCUCAUGCAACAAGGAUGACUGCCACAGGGAAAAGAAAAAAAAUAGGCUUCCUCAUCCGUUGUAUACCCUUUCUGCAAACUCCCUUAACAGCUACUGAAAAAGAACCAUCACUUCACAUGCCAGCUAUCAAAUAGGAGGAAGGAGAACCCCCUCCUCUCCAGUGAUGUGGGCGUGUUUCCCUCACAACUUGAGCCCUGAUCCUGGGUCCAGGCUUACUUCUCCCCAGGGCCAGUGGCACCUCAGUGGGGGCUAAUCCUGCAAGGCAGGGAAGGGAGUCAGCCCCCAACUCUGUAUUCCCCUUAUGUGGGGACAUAGAUUAAAUAGAUCAUUUCCUAGUGGAUCUCUAGUUCCUCACACGCUGCAGAAAGGUGGGUAGGUCCUUCUGCAGUUUUGGGGAAGGCUCUGACAGCAGUGUACCAAAGCACAAAACCUAUGGAGUAACAGAAAAAUACAUGCCCUCCCUUAGCAUCAGCUGAAAACCACAGGAGAUUUGUUAAAUCUGCAGACAUAGUUUUUCCUCUUAUGGAGAAGUGCUCAGCCUCCGUCUCCUUUCUGUAGGUGUGAAAACCUCUUCCCUUGAUGGGGUGGUGCUGUGUGGGUGGACGAUGCCAGGUGGGCAGCAGGCGUGGGGGCAGUCUGUGCUUGAUUCAGCUGAACGUGUGCAUGAGCUUCCUCUCACGCGGCCUGAACCUGUGUGAGGGAAGGAAGGGGGAGUGGUGCUGAAAUGGUAAUGUCUUACUAACUGUUAUAUUCCUCAUCAGAUGGCCCGGUGAGCCAUCUUUGAGGACUGCAAAUUCAAAUCAAGAGAAGGUUGUUACAUCAAGGUUUGAAUAAGCAAUCAAGUAACCCUCGCUGCUUCCCUGCACAGCAUUUGCAACCAAUCUCGAAGCAUCCCAAUGCUGCAGAGGCAGGCAAGUGUAAUUAGCUGCGCUUAAGGGAGGAGCCAAUAGAGGCUUUGGGAAAUGUGCUUCUGCAGGAACAGUAGAUGUUACCUGGAGAUAGCAGAGGUGCAGAGAUGUCUGGCUGGGAAAGGUCUGGCAGCACUCUCCUGCCUGCUUCUGCAGCUGAGGACUGUCUUUGACCUGAAACAGGGAGGUUUCUUUGUGGUGAUACCCUUAUGGGCUGCAGAACAGGGCAGCAGCUGGGGUGCUUGUGGUGGGUCCUCACUAGAGGCAGGGCUGAGGCCCUCUGGGUGCACUGUAGUCCAGUGAGGGGGCUCUUUGGGGCAGAAGGGCCAUCCUGAGAGACCCAAAUAGCCAUACCACAUGUACCAUAGGGCUCGCUGCUUGGAGGCUGCCAAGAGUUCGGACUCCUGCUGCAAUAGAGUAUUAACAGGCACCGCAAACAAGGGCCAACAACCAAGUCAUUGCCCUUUGAAAACCUGCUGCUGCCACUGUUCGUUUUCAUAGUCCUUUCCCCUACAACAGUAUAAACAAGCUGUCAUCUAUUUUUCAAUGAAAAAUACUUUUGCUUGGCUUGGGUUCACGUUGCACUGUUACUAUUUGCUGUCGCGGAAGCUGCUGCAGCUAUAAAUAACCUCACCACAAGAUCCUCUUUUCUGUAAGUUUGAGUGCUUGCUUCGGAAGAGGCAGACAAGAUUAGGAUUUGUUUUGAAUGGGAGAGUCUCUUGGCAGAGGUGAUGGGUAGCUGCCAUCAUCAGGGCACUCACACCCCAUAGGCCCAAGCUUCCCGGCAGAGGAUGCAGAGCCUGGCUGCCCAAAACUGCUCUCAUGUCACCCAGGAGGUAACACUUGUGCUGAGAGUGGUGGAUGAGAGCAACCAGCAGUGAUGCUCCACUUCCAUCAAUGCAACCCAGUGCCACUUUCCAUGGCCCUUGCUUUCCCAUCUGAUUGUGUUCCCCUGAAAGGGCCUCUGACAGCCUGGACACAGCUCAGGAGAAACACCCCAGGGCCGCUGCAGCCCCCACUGACUCCAGGACAUGACAGCCCAGGAGCCUUGCUGGCCCCUUCCAACACCUACUGGCAUGCAGUCAAGGCCAAUGGGGAGGCCAGAGCAUGUACAUGUGUCCUGACUGCAGGGCAAGAUCCAAACGUUCAACCUAGCAGAAAAAUGCUCAUUCCUUGGGCUUCUUUGGCUUGGGUUUUCUUCCAUAUUGCCAAGUCUGGUUCAGAUGGGAGGGACAGAUAAACCCUGGGUCUGGCACAACAGAAGGGGGAGGAAGAGGGGCAGGACCCCAUUUUGCAGUGGAAUAGUACAAAAGUGACAUCCUCUCCAAGUACACUUGCAUCUCACUAGAUGGUUGCAGAGCCCCUGGGAUGUGGGGAAACCAUACAGUGACUGCAGGCAUGUGCUUCGCAGGUGAUUCGUUCAACCUCUGGUGCCAACCAAGUGUGAGAUUAACCAAACAGGUUUCAUACACUCUCCUCUUCCAGGAAGCAUUUGCUUUGUUGUCGUUGUCCGGGGCUGUUCUUUCCUCCAUCUGCCGUCCUGCCUUGGCCUCAUUCAUGGUGACAGCCACAUCCACCGUCAUGCACUGCUGCUGAUGGUAAAUGCGUGUCUUGGGCAGGGGCCAUGGUGAGGCUUGCCUUGAGGUGGAGCAAUGUGGUUAUGCUCAUCUAGAUCACUGUCCUUGCUGCAGUAAAUGCUCUGAGCUGAUCAUGCCCUAGAUAGAGCUGGGAGUCAACUUCAGAAAGGAGAGCUGGUUUUGACUGCAAACUGAAUGAACACGGUGACUCAUCUCAGUUCCUAAAAGCGAAGAAGUAUUUGUUUCCAUACCACAAGAGGCUUUAACUUAACAUUCAAGGUCUCUGGCUGUGUUUCACUUCUAUGGCUGGCUGCCACUGAUCAGGGUUCAUCGCCCUCCCUCUCUCCUGUCUCCAGACUUGCAAAGCUCUGCCCCUGCCCUGGUGCAGACCCCCGCACUGAGCUGACACAGGAAAUUUGACCAGGCAAAAAUUAUCCCCUUCUUCUUUAUUUUCAGCAAGCUUAGUUUUCUUUAGUUUUAGCUCUGGUGUCAGGAGCAAGGCAAAGGGGAAGGAGGCCUGUCCUGGAUGACUGGAAGCUUUUGGUCAGCUUAGCAUGCACUCUCUGUCCCUAAACAGUGAACCCACACUGUGCCGCGUCUGCCUUCCCCUUGACUGCUACGUGGACAGAGCUGGCAGAAAGUGUUGCUCCUCCUUUCCCCAGGGCUCAGGCACCAGACCAGAAAGAAACAAGCCUGCAGAUUUAUUCCCGAGCCCUUUUGUUUUUGUGAUACUUUACUUUCCCAGCCAGACAGGAUGAGAAACAGCUACCACCAAACUACUACGAGUGAGGUUAUUCUUGAAGUGUUUAUAGCUUGGCCUUGCUGGAGAAUGUUUGGCUGCCUCCCAAGACAGCCUAUUCUCACUGUGUUUCCAAGGCAGUCUCUGAACUUUCGGGCACUUACCCAAACAGAAUCUGGACUUUUUGAAGUUUGCUUAUCUCUGUUUAUGAGGGCCUGCUUCGAAGGGGAGUCAGGGGAGUGCAACUGAGACCAAGGGUUCAAGGAGCAAAUGAGACAGUGCUGAAAGGAAGCUCUGAUACGCUUUGUUUGCGUUGCACAUGAGAGUGGUGCCCCAGUGUCCUCUGAACACCCAGCUCUGGUCUGCCCAAGCUAAUAGUCAGCCUGGCUGUAUCUGGUAGAUCUCUUGAUUGCAAAAGGCUUUUAAAAGCCUUUAAAAGGCUUUAAAAAGCCUUUAAGUUCCUCAGUCAUUUUUAAUUUAUGAAACCAAAGGUCAAACUGAUAUGGGAGUGCUUGAUUAAAUGAGGAGGGGGCAAGCUGAUGUAGCUGGAGCUUCAGACCAAUGUUCUCCUGUGAACCUGGAGGGGUUAAGGUGAGAGCUGUCAGGUUUUGCACACCUCUGCAAAGUAGUGGUUGGCCUGUUCCAAUCAGCCUGGCUGAGAAAAGCAGCCUCUACUGCUGCUACUUUUCCCUGCCCUCUGUUUUCCAGACAGUCAACUGUUACUUAUUUUUCUCGAGGAGAUUCUGCCUCAUUAUUGCUGGAGGACAGCAAGUGUUUGCUAAAUUCUUCCCAUUUUGUUUUUAUUCCACAGUAUUUCCUGUGAUGGUAUCCCAGGAUCUCUCUGUUUUCAGCUACAGAGUGAAAAAGCUGUAUCAAUCUAGAAUGAAUAAAACUCAACCCAAAAUAUGGGUGAGGAAUGAGCUGUGCAUUUUAGCACAUGCAUGUGAAUUUGCACUCCGCAAAAGGACUUUAAAACAAUAGUAACUGAAAGCUUGCUUUACAUGUUUAAGGACAAAUACAAACCAAUCAGGAUAAAAUCAAAUGAAAUAUAUAGUACUAUUGUUGAAAUUCUGAUAUAUUCAAAAGUUAUUUAAUUGCAUGCUACUACAGAGUAUCCUUGGUUGCCACUCUCAGUUACUGACAUUAUUAGUCUAGCAUUAUACUGUUCAAAAUGUAAUAAAAUAUUUCCAUUAGUUUUGGAGCAACAUGAUCUCUGAGAAAAUAGACAUUUGAGAAUGCACUGCGUGAUCAGGCAAACGCAGGGAUUUGAUUUUAUUAAUUGGCUAUUAGGGCAAACUUCAGCCUUUCAUAAGUAGCAAGUGAUGUCAAUGCUAUGUUUGUUUAAACUCAUUGCUGUUUGAACUGACUGAGCAACAAUAAUAAACCCCUUUGUUUUUACAUAAACAUUUUUUUUUCUCCUACAGGGAGCUCUUUUUAUUUAACAUGUGCCAUGAAAAAAAAUCACUGUGUUACUCCGUGUAAAGCAUGUCUGUUUAAAUCAAGUCAAUUAAAUGCAGUUCCUGAGAUUAAGGAGAAAGCAGCUGUAUUCUUGUUUGGAGCAGCUUGUUUUUUCUAGUUGAUUUAGUUGCAGUUUUCCAAUGUUACAUAAACAAAUAGUUUAAUCAGGAACAAUAGUGUGGAAUCUUAACUUUCCUUUUUCCUCUACCAGUGGCAAUAAAUAGCAUACAUAAUAAAGAAACUGUAAUUGUGAAACAAUGCCAUGCAAAAGAUAACACAGUGAUUAUUUUCAGUUUUAGAAAUCUGGCAUGAGCCACAAAGUUCAGAAGCAAGGUUUCACUAUAACACAGACUUAAACGAGGUAACUGACCCCACUGAAGUCAAAACAGUAAUAAACAGGCAUACAGGCUUCCUCCAUGCAAAAACUCCUGUUAAGUCCUUGAUGUAGCUGAGAAAUCACAUCCAAAGUUACAGUCUGCUCCCUGUUCUUUGGGUUUCUCUCUCUAACAUAAGCAGUAUUGGUUAGCUAUACCCAGGCAUGAGUGUGAGUGUGUGCUCAUGCACACGUAAUUCAAAAUGUAACACUCUCCCGUGAGUGCUUCUACCUCAGGGAAAAGAUGAUGGGAUUAAGUUCGUGACUGAUAUUAGUCAUGUUGCUUAAUACACUGGUGGGAGGCAACAAGCUGCUGCUCAGACAAAUGCCAGGCAGGAACCCAUGUAUUUGAGCAACCCCUUAAGUUUUGCGCUCAGUGUUUUGUAUGAACCUUGCAAGAGGCUAUAGUCAGUGCAAUGAAUUGUGACAGUAGGACUAGAAAUGUAUCGCUCUGAAACUCUUUGAAAAUCUGAAGCUGUAACCCAGUUCCUGCCUAAAUUUAGUGUGGUGCAUUGUGUGACAAGACAGUGACUCAGAGCAGUUACUCAUAUGCUCAAGAUGCUGUGAAGCUGGUACCGUUCUGGUGAACUUCUGAACUGUUGCCUUAAAAGCCAUCGAUUGCUACUUUGUGUGUGUAGCUUUUCUGAGAAGGUUGUGCUGAAGGAAAUUUGAAUAGAAAGUGCCAUUAAUGUUUUCAUUCCCAGCUUUAAUUCAUCAUCUCUGAAUAUAUUUCGCUGCCACUUAAACACUGUGGUUAACUCAUAGCUUGAUCAACAAGUUCUUGAAUAAGUCAGCUCCUAAAUGAAGGAGCUUUUCUCACAGUGCCUUGAAGGGGAGAAAAAAAAUGUGUUUUUUAAACCUUCUGCGUAAGUAGUUAGCACGACCUGUAAAACUCACAUACACUCCAAAAUAACAACAGCAAAAUAACAUGGAGGAGGCAGUAAAGUUAUUUUCCAAAGUUUUCCUGUGUUUUAUUAAACUUCAAAAAUAUCU